RNAcentral lists this ribosomal RNA (253 nucleotides) under uncultured bacterium. RNAcentral describes it as "partial 16S ribosomal RNA". It matches the Rfam family "Bacterial small subunit ribosomal RNA", at positions 524 to 776 of the family's 1533-position model. The record is from RNAcentral.
UACGAGGGGGGCAAGUGUUGUUCGGAAUUACUGGGCGUAAAGGGAGCGUAGGCGGGCUCUUAAGUUGGAUGUUUAAAACCGAGGCCUAACCCCGGCGUGGCAUCCAAAACUGGGAGUCUUGAAUGGGACAGAGGCCAGUGGAAUUAGAGGUGUAGCGGUGGAAUGCGUAGAUAUCUCUAAGAACACCAGUUGCGAAGGCGGCUGGCUGGGUCCACAUUGACGCUGAGGCUCGAAAGCGUGGGGAGCAAACAGG